RNAcentral lists this ribosomal RNA (253 nucleotides) under uncultured bacterium. RNAcentral describes it as "partial 16S ribosomal RNA". It matches the Rfam family "Bacterial small subunit ribosomal RNA", at positions 524 to 776 of the family's 1533-position model. The record is from RNAcentral.
UACGUAGGUGGCAAGCGUUGUCCGGAAUUAUUGGGCGUAAAGCGCGCGCAGGUGGUUUCUUAAGUCUGAUGUGAAAGCCCACGGCUCAACCGUGGAGGGUCAUUGGAAACUGGGGAACUUGAGUGCAGAAGAGGAAAGUGGAAUUCCAAGUGUAGCGGUGAAAUGCGUAGAUAUCCGGAGGAACACCGGUGGCGAAGGCGGCCAUCUGGACCAGCACUGACACUGAGGCACGAAAGCGUGGGGAGCAAACAGG